This is a long non-coding RNA of Helianthus annuus (common sunflower), 2442 nucleotides long. RefSeq lists it as uncharacterized. The transcript has 4 exons. The record is from RefSeq and is a predicted model, not a curated record. Lineage: Eukaryota; Viridiplantae; Streptophyta; Magnoliopsida; Asterales; Asteraceae.
UCACUUUCAGAAAUCAAUUCAUUUCUCUCUCAAUUCUCUCUCUCUAAAAUUCAAAAUCUGGGCUCCGAUUAACUUAAAAUUCUAAAUCUGGGCUCCAUUUCUCUCUAAAAUCAAUCCAUUCUCAUCUUCAAAACCAAAAUAAAUAUGUUUACCAAAGGGGUUCAUGGAAGGGAAGACUUCGAAGCCGACUUCAAAUCCAAAAUAAAUAUGUCGCCGCCGCUCCUCCACUUCACUCUCCUACACUCAAUCGCUUCUCCGCCGCACUUCUCCGGUCGCCGCCGCUUCAAUCCUUCACUCUCCUACACUCAAUCCUUCGAUACAUGAAAGUGACAAUAAAAAAAGAUGAUUUCCCAAAUUAAAAGUUUCAAUUUUGAAGUGGAAUCACACCUCAACAUCUUCAACAGAAGAGUUUCUGGGUUUUGAGAUUUUCUUGAAAUUGAAAGAUGGGGAUAAGAUUUGAUGGUGAAUUUUGUGGUUGAAAUGGGAAUUGAAAGGUUUGAUGUUGAGUGGGAUAUUAAUGCUGGAUUUGAAGAAUGAUGAAGGUGGUGUUUGGGUUUGAUUUGAAUAUGGGUUUGUUUAUAUCACCGACAUAACAGCUAAUGGGUAUGCACUUCUGUAUUAUCUUGAUUUAUCUUAUUGGUUUGCUUGAUUUUGCAUACUGUCGAAUUUCUAUUUGAGCUUUCAUGUCUUUGUUCAAUUGCAUGUGAUUUUUAGGUUUGUGAUUUUGGGCAUCCAUUUUGAUGUUUAUUUUCUAAUUGGAUAAGCUUUUUGAAGUUGGAUUUUAUGAAGCCCACCAACUGUUUGUAAAAAUGUCAGUAACAAAAAAUGUUGGGAUUUGUCUAAGAGGGAUAUUGCACAGUGGAAGAGCUCACGUACGACUACAGGUGCUCGUGAGCUUUGAAAGUCAAAUCAUGGCUGGACAAUGAGACCACAUCCGCUCUCUGCCUUCUGCGAAACCAUCCAGGUAUUUGAAAAAUAAAAUCAACUUUUGCAGCUUAGAAACAAUGGAUUAUAUUCAGUUAUAAGUUAGUGGAUUAUAGUUUGAAAAUGUCAGAAUUAUGAUUCUGUUUUAGCGCAAGUGAUUAUCAUUAUUUCAUUUGCUAAUCAAUUAAAUAAUUUGUUUCUAUUUCAUUGAUUUGGCGCAAUUGAGGAUUUGUAACUAAUUUGCCAUGUGUUUAUGCUUGGAGUUGGAGUAUGAACUAGAGUGCUUAAUGGUUGAGUUUGAUUCCAAUCUUCAUAUUGAUGAGAAGCCUCCCAUACUUCUAAGAGACGUCUUCAAAAAAUGAAGCCAUUCUUAAUGGCUUAUGAAAAUAUUCAAACAUAAAAGUAUGGCAUGUAAGUCAACAUCCCAAGUCCAUUUUGACUUUUGACAUACUUAAAAUUCACUGACAAUCUUUCUCAUUUACGUCUACUCUUGGUUUAAUAAACUAGGUUUCUUAAUAAGGUUAGCUGACUAAGUAUAGUUCUUUUUUUUCCCAGUUUGGAAUACGUUACUAUUGGUUAAACAGAUCGGUUAAUGACCAAUAUAACUUUCAUGACCGAGGUUAGCAACUUUAUUACUAUCUAUAUUUGUAUCACAUUUUUACUGAACUAUCAUGGUUUUAAGUUCCAAAUCGUUAAAACUAAACCGUGAACCGGACCAUAUAUAUUUAAAGUUGUAGUAACAAGAGACUACAAGGCUAUUUCUUUGAAGUGCUUUGAAGAAUCUGCUCCUCCCAAUGACAAAGACUCAACAUCUGCUACUCCAAAGGUCUGGCAAAGCUAAAGUCUGCCAAAAGAGAACAUCUGCUUGAAGAUAAAGUCUGCUGAUCCAAAGAUCUGCCAAAGUGAAACUCUGCUGAUGAAGACAAAAUCUAAAGAAGCAAAGGUCUGCUAUGGCUCAACAGAUGUUAAAGACCAACAGAUAGGGGCGGCAAUUCCUGACACGACCCGAAACCCGACCCGAACCCGACCCGAAAAAAAACAGGUUUUGGGUCAGCUGAAACGACCCGUUUAAAAAACGGGCCGGGUUCGGGUUGACCCGUAAAAAAAAUAGAUUGAUCCGUUAACCCGUUUAAGUUAAUAUUAUUAAAAAAGUAUUUUUUGAAAUUUUAUAAUUAUUUUUAGUUACGUUCCCUCCUAAAGUGUACAAUAUAACUUAAUUAUUAUUUGAUUUUCCAACAAACCUUUUCAGAAAGCCCCUUUGAAUUCCACCGGAAUUCUAAACGUUUAUCUUCUCCAGCAACCAAAAUUAACUUAUAUAUUCUAAAGCCCUAAUUUUGAAUCCCCCACCAUGUUUCUUAGGGGGCGUUUGGUUCGCGGAAUGUGUAGGAAUUGGAAUUGGAAUCCCUUAGGGAAUUGUAAUUUGAAUUGGAAUUUGAUGGAUUCCUUUGAAAUCCAUAGAUGUGUUUGGUUAAUAAAUGUAUUAAUGAAUUAGAAUUUAAAAAUACCUAAAAAGACAAA